This 655-nucleotide long non-coding RNA is filed under the name Amborella trichopoda. Its description in RNAcentral is "long non-coding RNA (ATRI_LNC002219)". The record is from RNAcentral. Lineage: Eukaryota; Viridiplantae; Streptophyta; Magnoliopsida; Amborellales; Amborellaceae.
GGUAUUUUGCCUCUUCAUAAAGGUUUUCAAUGGGGGAAUGCAGUUCGUAAUAUGGAUUUCAGAUAGAAUUUAACAAAACCUCUUCUUAGGAAAAUUCAAAGGAGAGAAAACAGUGGACUUUCAAAAUUUGUGGAUUCCAAUUCUGAAAAAUAAAGCAAAUCUAUCAUGAAAUAAAAGAAUGAAUUUGAAACUUGCCUGAAAUCAAGGAUAUAGUGUCUCUCAUCCAACAGACCUAUUAAGAAGGCCCAAACCCGAAAAUUUGACAAAUUUCAAAACUAUGCCACAGGCUGCAAAUUUCUCAAUGCACGAAGAAUUUAUUUACAAGCAUGUUGCACUUUCUGAAACACUGACGAGGAAAACCAAAACCGGUGGCUCGCCGGGCCAAGUCUCGCCUGUACUUGAGAAAGGCAACCUGCCAAGCCUUUUGCAAGGCACUUUAAACUUAAAAAAUUCGGCUUUUUUAAAAAUAAAAAAAAAAAUCAUAGAACCCCCUGGGUUGCUUGAUUUUUGGAUUUUCGAACUUUUUCUCAACAAAAAUGAUGCAGGGAGAACAUAAUAAACGAAAUAAAAUUAAAAAGUUUGAGAGAUUAUACCCUCUCUUCGGAUCUACAAGGGAAUCCGAUCCAAGAUCUUUUUACAAUAUCAAACUCUUUAC